AAGGGGGGCGUUCCUAAUCAUGCAAGUCGAGCGAUGGAUUAAGAGCUUGCUCUUAUGAAGUUAGCGGCGGACGGGUGAGUAACACGUGGGUAACCUGCCCAUAAGACUGGGAUAACUCCGGGAAACCGGGGCUAAUACCGGAUAACAUUUUGAACCGCAUGGUUCGAAAUUGAAAGGCGGCUUCGGCUGUCACUUAUGGAUGGACCCGCGUCGCAUUAGCUAGUUGGUGAGGUAACGGCUCACCAAGGCAACGAUGCGUAUCCGACCUGAGAGGGUGAUCGGCCACCUGGGACUGAAACACGGCCCAUACUCCUACGGGAGGCGGCAGUAGGGAAUCUUCCGCAAUGGACGAAAGUCUGACGGAACAACGCCGCGUGAGUGAUGAAGGCUUUCGGGUCGUAAAACUCUGUUGUUAGGGAACAACAAUGCUAUUUUGAAU
Molecule: ribosomal RNA, 439 nt
Filed under: Bacillus sp. (in: firmicutes)
Lineage: Bacteria; Bacillati; Bacillota; Bacilli; Caryophanales; Bacillaceae
Description: bacterial SSU rRNA
Rfam family: Bacterial small subunit ribosomal RNA
Source: RNAcentral